RNAcentral lists this transfer RNA (40 nucleotides) under Arthroclianthus deplanchei. RNAcentral describes it as "partial tRNA-Glu". The record is from RNAcentral. Lineage: Eukaryota; Viridiplantae; Streptophyta; Magnoliopsida; Fabales; Fabaceae.
UCGAAUCCUAAACAGAAAAAGAAAGAGUUUGAUAUAAACC